Molecule: small nuclear RNA, 185 nt
Filed under: Sinocyclocheilus grahami
Lineage: Eukaryota; Metazoa; Chordata; Actinopteri; Cypriniformes; Cyprinidae
Description: U1 spliceosomal RNA (ENSSGRG00000007421.1)
Rfam family: U1 spliceosomal RNA
About the family: U1 is a small nuclear RNA (snRNA) component of the spliceosome (involved in pre-mRNA splicing). Its 5' end forms complementary base pairs with the 5' splice junction, thus defining the 5' donor site of an intron. There are significant differences in sequence and secondary structure between metazoan and yeast U1 snRNAs, the latter being much longer (568 nucleotides as compared to 164 nucleotides in human).
Source: RNAcentral
AUAAUUCUGUAUUGAAUUGAAUGAUAAAUAAAUGUUUUUAAGAAAAAAGAAAAAAAAAAGGUUCACCCAGGGUGAGGCUUGGCCAUUGCACUCCGGUUUGUGCUGACCUCUGCGAAUUCCCCAAAUGUGGGAAUCUCGACUGCAUAAUUUAUGGUAGUGGGGGACUGCGUUCGCGCUCUCCCCUG